AAUGAACGCUGGCGGCAGGCCUAACACAUGCAAGUCGAACGGGUCCUUCGGGACUAGUGGCGGACGGGUGAGUAACGCGUGGGAACAUACCCAAAGGUACGGAAUAGCCUCGGGAAACUGAGAGUAAUACCGUAUGUGCCCUUCGGGGGAAAGAUUUAUCGCCUUUGGAUUGGCCCGCGUUGGAUUAGGUAGUUGGUGGGGUAAUGGCCUACCAAGCCGACGAUCCAUAGCUGGUUUGAGAGGAUGAUCAGCCACACUGGGACUGAGACACGGCCCAGACUCCUACGGGAGGCAGCAGUGGGGAAUCUUAGACAAUGGGGGAAACCCUGAUCUAGCCAUGCCGCGUGAUCGAUGAAGGCCUUAGGGUUGUAAACCUCUUUCAGCAGGGAAGAAGCGAAAGUGACGGUACCUGCAGAAGAAGCACCGGCUAACUACGUGCCAGCAGCCGCGGUAAGAGUACUCUAU
This 465-nucleotide ribosomal RNA is filed under the name uncultured bacterium. Its description in RNAcentral is "bacterial SSU rRNA". It matches the Rfam family "Bacterial small subunit ribosomal RNA", at positions 29 to 535 of the family's 1533-position model. The record is from RNAcentral.